AUCAAAUACGCAGUAUUUACAGAAAAAAGUCUUCGUUUAUUGGGAAAGAAUCAAUAUACUUUUAGUGUUGAAUCGGGAUUCACUAAGAUAGAAAAGCAUUGGGUCAAACUCUUCUUUGGUGUUAAGGUGGUAGCCCACCUCCUUCUCCACAUCCACAGCCGCGACAGCGGUUGCGAGUUUCCCCGCACCACCGUGGAUGCCACCAAUGUCCUGCAUUGCAUCUGCCGUGGUCACCGCACCCUGCAGAUCUCUGGUCGCUGCGUCGGUGUCGCCACGAGCGUCCGCCAUCGGUAUGAGGGAGGCAAUGAAGGUGAGGUAGAGGAUGCGGUGGGGGAGAGCGAGAUGGUGCGGUAG
Molecule: ribosomal RNA, 354 nt
Filed under: Triticum aestivum (bread wheat)
Lineage: Eukaryota; Viridiplantae; Streptophyta; Magnoliopsida; Poales; Poaceae
Description: partial small subunit ribosomal RNA
Source: RNAcentral